AGUGAACGCUGGCGGCGUGCCUAAUACAUGCAAGUCGAACGGAGAUUAAGUAGCUUGCUAUCUACUCUUAGUGGCGCACGGGUGAGUAAUAUAUGGCUAACUUGCCCAUUACUAAGGGACAACAGUUGGAAACGACUGCUAAUACCUUAUACUCCGUAUCUAUAUAAGUAGAUACGGGCAAGUUUUUCGGUAAUGGAUAGGGCUAUAUCGUAUCAGCUAGUUGGUAAGGUAAUGGCUUAACAAGGCUAUGACGCGUAACUGGUCUGAGAGGAUGAUCAGUCACACAGGAACUGAGACACGGUCCAGACUCCUACGGGAGGCAGCAGUAGGGAAUAUUGCUCAAUGGGGGAAAACCUGAAGCAGCAACGCCGCGUGGAGGAUGACACUUUUCGGAGCGUAAAUUCCUUUUCUUGGGAAAGAAUUAUGACGGUACCCGAGGAAUAAGCACCGGCUAACUCCGUG
This 462-nucleotide ribosomal RNA is filed under the name uncultured bacterium. RNAcentral's name for it is "partial 16S ribosomal RNA". It matches the Rfam family "Bacterial small subunit ribosomal RNA", at positions 29 to 507 of the family's 1533-position model. The record is from RNAcentral.